RNAcentral lists this ribosomal RNA (369 nucleotides) under uncultured phototrophic eukaryote. RNAcentral describes it as "SSU rRNA". It matches the Rfam family "Bacterial small subunit ribosomal RNA", at positions 524 to 896 of the family's 1533-position model. The record is from RNAcentral.
UACGGGGGAUGCAAGCGUUAUCCGGAAUCAUUGGGCGUAAAGCGCCUGUAGGUUGUUUAAUAAGUCUGUUGUUAAAGCCUAGGGCUUAACCCUAGAAAAGCAAUGGAAACUACUAGACUAGAGUAUGGCAGGGGUAGAGGGAAUUUCUAGUGUAGCGGUGAAAUGCGUAGAUAUUAGAAAGAACACCGGUGGCGAAAGCGCUCUACUGGACCAUUACUGACACUCAGAGGCGAAAGCUAGGGUAGCAAAUGGGAUUAGAUACCCCAGUAGUCCUAGCCGUAAACGAUGGAUACUAAACAUUGCGUGCUCGCCGUGGUGUUAUAGCUAACGCGUUAAGUAUCCCGCCUGGGGAGUAUGCUCGCAAGGGUG